CGUAGGUGACCUGCGGAAGGAUCAUUACCAGAGAGGAGCCCGAGCCCCUUGGGGCUCGGCCCCGCGGGCUC
RNAcentral lists this ribosomal RNA (71 nucleotides) under Stereocaulon sp. Hur JP060072. RNAcentral describes it as "partial 18S ribosomal RNA". The record is from RNAcentral. Lineage: Eukaryota; Fungi; Ascomycota; Lecanoromycetes; Lecanorales; Stereocaulaceae.